UACGGAGGGGGCGAGCGUUAUUCGGAAUUAUUGGGCGUAAAGGGCGCGUAGGCGGCUUGAUAAGUCAAAGGUGAAAUCCCUCGGCUCAACUGAGGAACUGCCUUUGAAACUGUCGGGCUUGAGGCCGGGAGGGGGUAGCGGAAUUCCCAGUGUAGCGGUGAAAUGCGUAGAUACUGGGAGGAACACCGGUGGCGAAGGCGGCUACCUGGACCGGUUCUGACGCUGAGGCGCGAAAGCGUGGGUAGCAAACA
Molecule: ribosomal RNA, 251 nt
Filed under: uncultured prokaryote
Description: partial 16S ribosomal RNA
Rfam family: Bacterial small subunit ribosomal RNA
Source: RNAcentral